GGACGGGGACGGGUGUGCGGACGAUUAGCUAGUUGGCGGGGCAACGGCCCACCAAGGCGACGAUCGUUAGCUGAUGUGAGAGCAUGGUCAGCCACACGGGCACUGAGACACGGGCCCGACUCUUACGGGAGGCAGCAGUAAGGAAUAUUGGUCAAUGGGCGCAGGCCUGAACCAGCCAUGCCGCGUGGAGGACGAAGGCCCUCCGGGGUCGUAAACUCCUUUUACCCGGGACGAAAAAAAGCCCUUUUGAGGGCACUUGACGGUACCGGGGGAAUAAGCACCGGCUAACUCCGUGCCAGCAGCCGCGGUAAUACGGAGGGGUGCGAGCGUUAUCCGGAUUCACUGGGUUUAAAGGGUGCGCAGGCGGGCUUUUAAGUCAGCGGUGAAACCCGCGGGCUCAACCCGCGGACUGCCGAUGAUACUAGGGGCCUUGGAUGUCGCUGAGGGCAGCGGAAUGGGGCAUGUAGCGGUGAAAUGCAUAGAUAUGCCCCGGAACACCGAUUGCGGAGGCAGCUGCCUAAAGGACGAUCGACGCUGAGGCACGAAAGCGUGGGUAGCGAACAGGAUUAGAUACCCUGGUAGUCCACGCCCUAAACGAUGAUUACUCGACGUCCGCGGCAUACUGUGGGCGUCCAAGCGAAAGCA
This 645-nucleotide ribosomal RNA is filed under the name uncultured bacterium. RNAcentral's name for it is "bacterial SSU rRNA". It matches the Rfam family "Bacterial small subunit ribosomal RNA", at positions 217 to 859 of the family's 1533-position model. The record is from RNAcentral.